AAGUCGAGCGGAAAGGCCCCUUCGGGGGUACUCGAGCGGCGAACGGGUGAGUAACACGUGGGUAACCUGCCCCUGGCUCCGGGAUAACCUUGGGAAACCGAGGCUAAUACCGGAUACGACUCGCGACCGCAUGGUCUGCGGGUGGAAAGGAUUCCGGCCAGGGAUGGACUCGCGGCCUAUCAGCUAGUUGGUGGGGUAAUGGCCUACCAAGGCGACGACGGGUAGCCGGCCUGAGAGGGCGACCGGCCACACUGGGACUGAGACACGGCCCAGACUCCUACGGGAGGCAGCAGUGGGGAAUAUUGCGCAAUGGGCGAAAGCCUGACGCAGCAACGCCGCGUGAGGGAUGACGGCCUUCGGGUUGUAAACCUCUUUCAGCUCCGACGAAGCCUUCGGGUGACUGUAGGAGCAGAAGAAGCACCGGCUAACUACGUGCCAGCAGCCGCGGUAAUACGUAGGGUGCGAGCGUUGUCCGGAAUUAUUGGGCGUAAAGAGCUCGUAGGCGGCCUGUUGCGUCUGCUGUGAAAGCCCGGGGCUUAACCCCGGGUCUGCAGUGGAUACGGGCAGGCUAGAGUUCGGCAGGGGAGACUGGAAUUCCUGGUGUAGCGGUGAAAUGCGCAGAUAUCAGGAGGAACACCGGUGGCGAAGGCGGGUCUCUGGGCCGAUACUGACGCUGAGGAGCGAAAGCGUGGGGAGCGAACAGGAUUAGAUACCCUGGUAGUCCACGCCGUAAACGUUGGGCGCUAGGUGUGGGGUCCCUUCCACGGGUUCCGUGCCGUAGCUAACGCAUUAAGCGCCCCGCCUGGGGGAGUACGGCCGCAAGGCUUAAACUCAAAGGAAUUGA
This 844-nucleotide ribosomal RNA is filed under the name uncultured Propionibacteriaceae bacterium. RNAcentral describes it as "bacterial SSU rRNA". It matches the Rfam family "Bacterial small subunit ribosomal RNA", at positions 59 to 913 of the family's 1533-position model. Lineage: Bacteria; Bacillati; Actinomycetota; Actinomycetes; Propionibacteriales; Propionibacteriaceae. The record is from RNAcentral.